AUUCCCCCAAAAUGGCGUAGAUGGUCAGAAAGAGGCCCAAGAUGGCCCCAAGAUGGCCGCCAAAUGGCCCCCAAUUGCCGAUUGGGCCCGGCGGGGUGCACGAAGCGCUCAGAAUAAACCCUGAUAUCUUGACGUGGAUCACUGAAGCGCGAAUUCUUUGCAAAGCACAUGCGUUGCAUUGUGCAUGUGAUUCUAAUCAUUGGGCCUGCUCUUGCUUUGCAUGGCGCUCGUUGAUGGAAGUUCACGCGCGAGGUUCUCGUGGAAAGGAAUCGGAUUCGUUGGUUCGGCUGCUAAUGAUUUCUUUGCUCGCUGAGCUUUGUUUCUGCCUCGACGGGGCUUCGGUGACGAGGCGUUCGUCGUCUUUCUCACUGUGGCCCCCUCUCGGUGGUGAUGUAAC
RNAcentral lists this unclassified non-coding RNA (397 nucleotides) under Gymnodinium catenatum. RNAcentral's name for it is "partial external transcribed spacer". Lineage: Eukaryota; Dinophyceae; Gymnodiniales; Gymnodiniaceae. The record is from RNAcentral.